CCCUAAUUUUUUUUGCUGGAACUGAACCCUAAUUCAAUCCCUAUAAAUAAGCAGUUCUCAAUUCUCAUCUCUCUACUUUCUGAAACUCGAGUCAUUUGACAUGGAAUGGGUACACUGAAGAGCUGGUAGGUGUUUCAUUCCUCUUAGGGUUUAGAUAGUAUUGUUUCGUUCAUGAUUGCUGUUUAGAUUUCUUAGUCUAUUCGUUUUUCGCUCAAUUUAUUUUUUCAAUCGAUUUUUUUUUUCUUUGGGUGAAUCCAAUUAAUCCUUUCGAGGGAUAAGAAAGGAAUUGUAAUAGGUAGAAGAUUGCGGUGAUGACUCAGAAAAUUCAAGCUCAACAGACCGGAAUGCAGGUUUCUUCUUCUUGGAGGGGAAAAUCGAUGGUUGCAAUGAGGAUAACAAGCUCCCUCUUCUGAAAUCAAGUUGAGGACAAAUGCUGGCGGAAUCGAACCUAAUUCUCAAAAUCGCCAUUGCUGAGUAAUCUAAUUUUCCCUUCUGCAUAUCCAAUUACGGGAAUAGUUAUAAAAAUUUCUAAUUUUUAGCUUCAUAUUUGAUUUCAAUGGUCCAUGAUAGAUGAGGAUGAGGCAAUAUUAGCAUUAUAUCCAACACUUGAUCUGAGGAAUUUGUUUCCAAGUGAUUCAACUUUUUGCUUCUGAAUCUAUCUUAGUUCUGAUUUUUUGAUUUUUUUAAUCCCUUCUUUUUCUUUGGGAUUGGUUAUGUGGUUUUUAAAGAUAAAAUUAGAAGAGAAGAGGUGUUCAUCAAAUGAUGAAAUCAGAAAAUAAAUCUUAGGACACCUUCCUACGCGACUCUUCACCGAGUUGUGGAUGAGAAAGACAUUUCUAAUCUGAUGAUGAAUGCACG
This is a long non-coding RNA of Macadamia integrifolia, 858 nucleotides long. RefSeq lists it as uncharacterized. NCBI's taxonomy places the organism in Eukaryota, Viridiplantae, Streptophyta, Magnoliopsida, Proteales, Proteaceae. The transcript has 2 exons. The record is from RefSeq and is a predicted model, not a curated record.